Molecule: long non-coding RNA, 1422 nt
Filed under: Lathyrus oleraceus (garden pea)
Lineage: Eukaryota; Viridiplantae; Streptophyta; Magnoliopsida; Fabales; Fabaceae
Description: Pisum sativum (pea) long non-coding RNA (PSAT_LNC023248)
Source: RNAcentral
GGCUAAAUACCAUAAACAUGAGCAAUAAAAAAAAUAAAAAAAAAUAUAUAUAUAUAUAUAUAUUUUUUGACUAACAAUUGAUUUAAUCUAAUUAUUUAAUAUUUUAAUUAAGUAAUGCAUUUAACCCAAAAAAAAAGGAAGAUAAAUCGAAAAUUAGUGCACAUAUACACAUGGGCCACAAUUUAUUGAAAUUAAUUCGGGCCCAAUUCGAAAAUCAUUAAAUCCAAAUUAGCUUCUACAUAAUAAUCACUAAGUAUUUGAAGCAUGCUGAGUAAAAUAGCCUUCUUUUGGAUUUCAAUCAGUAAGCUUAAUAGAGGACAACCUAUUCCAAGAAACGACUUCCUCUCUUUCCCAUUUAUCUCUUUCGAUGCCACCAAGAAUGUUCGACAUUUAGAAUUUGCAGAAAAAACUUUUAAAAUUUCACAACAAUCCAAAUUACGGACUCGAAUCCGCCGAAACUGGGGACGGUAUAUACAAAUAUAUAAUUCAAUUUCUAAAUCCACAGCAGAUGCAGCAAUAACAACCUAUAAACAGAAUGAAACUUAACUUUCGAACCCGUAUGCAGUCUAAAUUCCCAAUCGACAUGUAUUCAACAACAACAACAAAAAUCUAAUCAAACACACAAUAACUCACAAAAUAACUCAAGACGAGCUGUCUACACAAACACAAUGCCGAAAAUAACCACAAAGUUCAUGCCAAAGAAGAAUUAUUCCUGAUAUUACCGCGAAGCAGCGUUGUUCGUUGACUCGGCGGUAUUGUGUUGAUCUAGAACGGUGGCGCUCGGUUGAACUGAGGUUGUCGAAACUUGGAUCGUUUUUCGAGAGUGGAAUCGCCGGAACGAUUCAACCGGAGAUCUCGUCACGGUGGUGCUGGAGAUGAGUGAUGGAGGGUUUAUGGAGUUUGUCGACGAUGGGGUAGUGAUUUUCGGAUGAUGGUGUGUGUGAGUUGUUGAAGGAGAGCGAUGGCGAGUGGCGGCGGUGGUUGUCUUUGAUGUAUCGGUGGUGACGCGAGGGUUUCGUGGUGGUUUGGAGAGAAGAAAAAUGUCGGCGUUUGGUGGAGAGUGAGGGACGAUUUUGAGGGUAGUGAUGAGGGUUUGACGGUGAUGAAGAAAAGGUGGGUUUGGGUGAUGGAGUGAGGCGAGCGGAGAUUGAAGGUGGAUGGCGAAAGGGAUUUUGACAGUGGAUUUGGGUGAUGGAGUGAGGCGAGCGGCGAUUGAAGGUGAUGAAGAUGGAUGUUGAGCGAUUGAGGGUUUUAGGGAGUGAAGGGAUUUUUUUCUUUUUUCUGAGUGAGAGAGAAGAGAGGUUGAGUGAUAAGGAUUUGUGUGAGUGAAUUCGUUAUCAAGUAGGCAGAGUGGGGGGCACGUGGCGAAUGAAGAUGGAAUGAGGUGUUAGAUUUUGUGGAUUGGGUGAGUGAAUACGUGAG